UCAAGCUCUAGUCUGCGUAACCACCAAUUGGCCGGGUUCUUGGGUUCUGUAUAUACAAAUGAUUUUCCGUGGGCCACCAGUUGCCCAAAUUAUUUAUAUAAUUUGAGCAACUCAAAUUAUAUAAAUAAUGUCUUUUUUAGGAACAAUCGAAUAAUCCCUAAAUGUGAUGAAUGGAUAUAUGGUGCUACAAAUUUUAUUGUUUUGAAUAUUGAGUUGUUACACUUAAUCAAAUAAAUUUAAAAAACCUACAAAACCGAAUAUCAAGAUUCACAGUAAAUCUUUCUUGGCAUGAAUUUUUUGGUUCUCUGGCAUGAAUUAACAUUGUCUUUUAUUUUAAACUAUCUGGCUGUCUCAAUAACAGAAAAAAAAACACAAAUUGGUUAUUCGAAACGUCGCCUAUUAACUACGAACUAACGAAAAUAGAUUAAAAAUAAUAAUAAUUUUGAGUUCUAAGUUAAUUUCUUCGAUAGUGGACCAUUUUAUUUCGCAACACCCAAAAAAGAAGAUAAUAAUAAAAAAGCGAGAAUACCCAGAGAUAUGAAAAUAUAAGGCUUGAUCUCCUUCCCGUCGCUUUUAGAGGUACCUCUUUACUUGCCGCCAACAUCCACAGUAGCACUCCUGAAUUCCACAAUUUUGUUACAUUUAUAGAUUUUAGGUUGUAGUUCGAUCGUGUGAUUUUAAUGGCUGUAAAUAUGGCUCAACAAACGACCGGCGACUCUCUGUCUGUUGCCCAAAAAUAUCUGAGUUGCGCUACUUAGUACUUUACUUGCGCGCUGGGAGACGCCACUAAAAAGCACCCGAUUCCCGCCGGUGAUCGUGUAUGUUCGGAGAAAAAUUUGGUCGUUUGACGUGAAUGACAAGAAUAACGACACGAAUGUUCCCGCUUUUUUUGCGUUUGUUGGUUGUUUAAUGUUUACUUUCGUAAAAAAGCUCCAACUAAUUUGAUUGAUUAUUGCGAUUAUAUUUAACUUUCCUGUGUUUCUUUGUGAAAUAUUGACCAUAUUGUUGCUUAUAGUGUUUUAAAAUAAUACUUGAAAAGCUGUAUUAAUUCCAAUUCAGCGAUUUUAGCUGUAAAGAUGGACGGCCCUACUCAAAACCAUCAGAAUCAGGACCAAACUAUCAACAAAAAUAUGUGCCACUUAUGCAGAAAAAUGUUUUCUCCCAUUUCAGCUAAGAACAAACAUAUUAAGGUUAUUCAUAAGCAGCAGCUCCCAGAUAACCCAAAGUCACACAUUUCUUGUCCCUUAUGCAAAGAGACUAAGUAUUCUUGUGAGACUUAUCAAAAACUUUAAGCUCAUUUACAGGUAAGUCAUGAUAUCAAAAUAGAGUCCUCAACUUUCCAUUUUUCCAGCGAAGAAAGAUUUGAGCAAUAGUUAAGAGAGCAUAAAAUAAGCACAAACUAUGCACUUGUUCGCACAAGGAAAAUUGAAGACAAGAUUGAAAAAGUAUAUUGUUGCAAUCGAAGCAAUUUUAGAGGUAAAUUUGUAGCAAUUUCAAUUCAAGCAAAGUAUUUAUUACAUACUGUACAUAUUCAUUGUACUAUUUAGUGAAAGAUUGCUAAACAUGUACUUAAUGUGUAGCUGUUUCUAGGAUUUCAAAGCAAAUGUAGUAAGAGAACAAUAAAAUGUAGUGGUUCCAUUAAAAUGAAUGGUGUAUGUCCUUCUCGUUUAAAUGUCAAGAUUUAUGGUGCAGGUAACAUUAUAUAGUCCUUUAGGGUAUCCACAUAACGGGCCUGGAUGAUCACCAGAAGCAUGGCUGUAAGCCUUAUUUUUGUAUUGUCUUUAUGGUGUGUGAGCAAAGGAAGGGAAGCGAUUCUGUUUUAGAAAUUGAAACGUUUGUUAAUGAGAAGAUGACUGAAAAUCAACAAGUAGCAGUAUGAGGAUUGAACAAGCAAUCAACAAGAGAAAUUGAAAUUGAGAGAGUAUCAAACUUUUUAUGAUCUUUAAAUGAUGAAACUUAUGACAAGUGCAUGAGACAACUGACAUCAAUGAUGGAACAGGUAAAUAAGACAAAUACAGGUAAACGAAAAAUGGACAAACAAGUUUACUUUCCAUCAAAGAAGAA
Molecule: long non-coding RNA, 2064 nt
Filed under: Anthonomus grandis grandis
Lineage: Eukaryota; Metazoa; Arthropoda; Insecta; Coleoptera; Curculionidae
Description: uncharacterized LOC126741340
Source: RNAcentral